Molecule: ribosomal RNA, 1501 nt
Filed under: uncultured Bordetella sp.
Lineage: Bacteria; Pseudomonadati; Pseudomonadota; Betaproteobacteria; Burkholderiales; Alcaligenaceae
Description: partial 16S-23S ribosomal RNA intergenic spacer
Rfam family: Bacterial small subunit ribosomal RNA
Source: RNAcentral
GGUUCGAUCAUGGCUCAGAUUGAACGCUGGCAGGAUGCUUUACACAUGCAAGUCGAACGGCAGCACGGACUUCGGUCCUGGUGGCGAGUGGCGAACAGGUGAGUAAUGUAUCCGGAACGAUGCUAGUAGCGGGGAUAACUACGCGAAAGCGUAGCUAAUACCGCAUACGCCCUUCGGGGAAAGCGGGGGGACCUUCGGGCCUCCGCACUGUUAGAGCGGCCGAUAUCGGAUUAGCUGGUUGAUGGGGGUAACGGCUCACCGAAGGCGGCGAUCCGUAGCUGGUUUGAAGGACGACCAGCCGCACUGGGACUGAGACACGGCCCAGACUCCUACGGGAGGCAGCAGUGAGGAAUUUUGGACAAUGGGGGAAACCCUGAUCCAGCCAUCCCGCGUGUGCAGCGAAGGCCACCGAGGUUAUCUUACUUUGGCGGGAAAGGAAACGGCACGGGAUAAUACCCCGUGCAACUGACAGUACCUGCAGGGCAUAAGCACCGGCUAACUACGUGCCAGCAGCGGUAAUACGUAGGAGUGCAAGCGUUAAUCAGAUUACUGGGCGUAAAGCGUGCGCAGGCGGUUCAGAAGAAAGAUGCCGAAAUCCAGGCUUAACUUUGGAACUGCAUUUUUAACUGCAGGCUAAAGUGUGUCAGGGAGGUGGUCCCGCGUGUAGCAGUGAAAUGCGUGAAUGUGCGGAGGAACACCGAUGGCGAAGGCAGCUUCGCGGACGUCAACACUGACGCUCAUGCACGAAAGCGUGGGAGCAAACAGGAUUGUUCACCUGGUAGUCCACGCCUAAACGAUGUCAACUAGCUGUUGGGGCCUUCGGGCGUGGUAGCGCAGCUAACGCGUGAAGUUGACCGCCACCAGGAAGUACGGUCGCAAGAUUAAAACUCAAAAGGAAUUGACGGGGACCCGCACAAGCGUGGAUGGUGUGGAUUAAUUCGAUGCAACGCGAAAAACCUUACCUACCCUUUGACAUAUCUGGAAUCCCGAAGAGAUUUGGGAGUGCUCGCAAGAGAACCGGAACACAGGUGCUGCAUAGCUGUCGUCAGCUCGUAUCAUUGAGAUGUUGGGUUAAGUCCCUGUGAGCGCAACCCUUGUCAUUAGUUGCUACGAAGGGCACUCUAAUGAGACUACGGUGACAAACCGGAGGAAGGUGGGGAUGACGUCAAGUCCUCAUGGCCAUAUGGGUAGGGCUUCACACGUCAUACAAUGGUCAGGACAAGAGGGUCGCCAACCCGCGAGAGGGUAAUCCCAGAAACCCAAAAUCGUGGUCAGAUCGCGGUCUGCAACUCGACUGCGUGAAGUCAGAAUCGCUGGUAAUCGCCCGGAUCAGCAUGUCUUGAUGAAUACGUUCCCGGGUCUUGUACACACCGCCCGUCACACCAUGGGAGUGGGUUUUACCAGAAGUAGUUAGCCUAACCGUAAGGAGGCGAUUACCACAGUAGGAUUCAUGACUGGGGUGAAGUCGUAACAAGGUAGCCUGUUACUACAAGUGCUCCGG